UAUCUGGUUGAUCCUGCCAGUAGUCAUAUGCUUAUCUCAAAGAUUAAGCCAUGCAUGUCUAAGUACACGAUUUUAUAUAUCGAAACCGCGGAUGGCUCAUUAUAACAGCUAUGAUUUGAGAGAUAUUAUCAUUUGCCACAAGAUAACUGUGGUAAUUCUAGAGCUAAUAUUUUAUAGAAUGCCGUGACUCACGAAGCGGCGGAUUUAUUAGAUCAAAACUAACCUGUCCUAGACAGUUAUUUGAUGACUCUGGAUAACUUUACUGAUCGUACGACCUCUGUGUUGACGACGAAUCUCUUGAAAUGGCUGACCUAUCAACUUUCGAUGGUAAGAUCAAAGCUUACCAUGGUUGUAACGGGUAACGGGGAAUCAGUGUUCGAUUCCGGAGAGGGAGCCUGAGAAACGGCUACCACAUCCACGGAAGGCAGCAGGCGCGAAAAUUACCCAAUGCCGGUUCGGCGAGGUAGUGACAAUAAAUAACAAUAUGGACCCUAGUGGUUUCAUAAUUGCAAUGAGAUUAUUUUAAAUACUUUUUCAAGUAUCAAUUGGAGGGCAAGUCUGGUGCCAGCAGCCGCGGUAAUUCCAGCUCCAAAAGCGUAUAUUAAAGUUGUUGCAGUUAAAAAGCUCGUAGUUGAAAUUGAGGUAGAUGUAAUUUGAAAUCUUAUGAUUGAUUAUUACUAUACCUUUUCUUCGUGUAUAUUAGUGAGGGACUUAAUUGUUUUUUACUAGUAACCGAAAUGUUUACUUUGAAAAAAUUAGAGUGCUUAAAGCAGGCUUACGCUUGUAUAUUGUUGCAUGGAAUAAUAAAAUAGGACUUUGGUUUUAUUUUGUUUGGUUUUCUUAACUAAAGUAAUGAUUAAAAGAGACUGCCGGGGGGCAUAUGUAUGCUGGGUGCUAGAGGGUGGAAAUUCUUUAGACCAUCAGCAGAACAAACUACUGCGAAAGCAUUUGCCCAAGAAAUGUUUUUCAUAAAUCAAAGAACGAAAGUCAGAGGGAUCGAAGACGAUCAGAUACCCGUCCCUAGUUUCUGACCAUAAAACUAUGCCCACCUGACAGUUUAGUAAAAGAUGAAAUUAUUUUCUUUCUUUACUAGAAGUCACCCGGGAAACCAAAAUUCUUUGGGUUCCGGGGGGAAGUAUGGGUUGCAAAAGCUGGAAACUUUAAAGGAAUGGACGGGAAGGGCACCACAAGGGAGUGAGCCCUGCGGGCUUUAAUUGGACUCAACACCGGGAAAUCUCACCCCGGUCCGGGACACUGUGAGGGAUUGACAGAUUGAUAGCUCUUUUCUUGAUUUCGGUGGGGUGGUGGUGCAUGGCCGUUUCUUAGUUUGGUGGGAGCGAUUUUGUCAGGGUUAAUUACCGAUAACGAAACGAGACUAUGACAUUACUAAAUAGUGAAUUUAUAUUCAAUUGUAAAUUCUCACUUUCUUAGAAGAAAUAAAUAGCGUUUAGCUAUAUGAAAUAGAGCAAUAACAGGUGGUGAGAUGCCCUUAGAAGUCCGGGUCCGCACCCGCGCUACAAUGGCAGUACUAACAAGUUUUCCUAACUAGAAAUAGUCGGGUAAUCUCUUGAAACACUGUCGUAUCAGGGAUUGUGAAUUGAAAUUAUUUCACAUGAACGAGGAAUUCCUAGUAAGCGCAAGUCACUAGCUUGCGCUCCUUACGUCCCUGCCCUUUGUACACACCGCCCGUCGCUACUACCGAUUGAAUGGUUUAGUGAGAUUGUUGGAUUCUGAUCUAAGAAAUGGCAACAUUUCUAUGAAUGGGAAAAGACACUCAAACAAGAUUAUUUAGAGGAAGUAAAAGUCGUAACAAGGUUUCCGUAGGUGAACCUGCGGAAGGAUCGUUU
Non-coding RNA from Schmidtea mediterranea, 1847 nucleotides. Lineage: Eukaryota; Metazoa; Platyhelminthes; Tricladida; Dugesiidae. The record is from Rfam.